Molecule: ribosomal RNA, 460 nt
Filed under: uncultured bacterium
Lineage: Bacteria
Description: partial 16S ribosomal RNA
Rfam family: Bacterial small subunit ribosomal RNA
Source: RNAcentral
CCUACGGGAGGCAGCAGUGAGGAAUAUUGGUCAAUGGGCUUACGCCUGAACCAGCCAAGUCGCGUGAGGGAAGACUGCCCUAUGGGUUGUAAACCUCUUUUGUCAGGGAGCAACGCCGGCUACGUGUAGCCGGACUGAGAGUACCUGAAGAAAAAGCAUCGGCUAACUCCGUGCCAGCAGCCGCGGUAAUACGGAGGAUGCGAGCGUUAUCCGGAUUUAUUGGGUUUAAAGGGUGCGUAGGCGGAAUGCCAAGUCAGCGGUAAAAUCGCGGGGCUCAACCUCGCUCCGCCGUUGAAACUGGCGGUCUUGAGUGUGCGAGAAGUAUGCGGACUGCGGGGGGUAGCGGUGAAAUGCAUAGAUAUCACGCAGAACUCCGAUUGCGAAGGCAGCAUACCGGCGCCCAACUGACGCUGAAGCACGAAAGCGUGGGUAUCGAACAGGAUUAGAUACCCCAGUAGUC